Molecule: unclassified non-coding RNA, 377 nt
Filed under: uncultured Actinomycetes bacterium
Lineage: Bacteria; Bacillati; Actinomycetota; Actinomycetes
Description: uncultured actinobacterium contains 16S-23S intergenic spacer region
Source: RNAcentral
UCCGAGUUGACCCCGGCAGUCUCCUACGAGUCCCCGACAUUAUUCGCUGGCAACAUAGGACAAGGGUUGCGCUCGUUGCGGGACUUAACCCAACAUCUCACGACACGAGCUGACGACAACCAUGCACCACCUGUGUGGCACCCUCGAAGGUCACACGUUUCCGUGCGCUUGCAGCCACAUGUCAAGCCCAGGUAAGGUUCUUCGCGUUGCAUCGAAUUAAAGAACAUGCUCCGCUGCUUGUGCGGGCCCCCGUCAAUUCUUUUGAGUUUUAGCCUUGCGGCCGUACUCCCCAGGCGGGUCACUUAAUGCGUUAGCUCCGGCACGGAGGGAGUCGACACCCCCCACACCUAGUGCCCAUCGUUUACGGCGUGGACUAC